Molecule: ribosomal RNA, 497 nt
Filed under: uncultured bacterium
Lineage: Bacteria
Description: partial 16S ribosomal RNA
Rfam family: Bacterial small subunit ribosomal RNA
Source: RNAcentral
GAUGAACGCUGGCGGCGUGCCUAAUACAUGCAAGUCGAGCGAACAGACGAGGAUCUUGCUCCUCUGACGUUAGCGGCGGACGGGUGAGUAACACGUGUAUAACCUACCUAUAAUACUGGGAUAACUUCGGGAAACCGGAUCUAAUACCGGAUAAUAUAUUGAACCGCAUGGUUCAAUAGUGAAAGACGGUUUUGCUGUCACUUAUAGAUGGAUCCGCUCCGCAUUAGCUAGUUGGUAAGGUAACGGCUUACCAAGGCGACGAUGCGUAGCCGACCUGAGAGGGUGAUAGGCCACACUGGAACUGAGACACGGUCCAGACUCCUACGGGAGGCAGCAGUAGGGAAUCUUCCGCAAUGGGAGAAAGCCUGACGGAGCAACGCCGCGUGAGUGAUGAAGGUCUUCGGAUCGUAAAACUCUGUUAUUAGGGAAGAACAAAUGUGUAAGUAACUAUGCACGUGUUGACGGUACCUAAUAAGAAAGCCACGGCUAACUACGUG